Molecule: ribosomal RNA, 591 nt
Filed under: Triticum aestivum (bread wheat)
Lineage: Eukaryota; Viridiplantae; Streptophyta; Magnoliopsida; Poales; Poaceae
Description: partial small subunit ribosomal RNA
Source: RNAcentral
AUGGCAUCCUCCUCUUCUAUCCUUCUCUUUGCUGCUCUUAUUGCACUGGUCUCAUGGCAGGCCACUGCCUCUGAUCCUAGCCCACUCCAGGACUUUUGCGUCGCCGACCUGCAUUCACCAGUGCGUGUCAAUGGGUUUGUUUGCAAGAACCCGAUGGAAGUUAACGCAGACGACUUCUUCAAGGCAGCCAACCUCGACAAGCCUAGGGUGACCAACAAGAACCCACCACAUAUGCACCCUCGCGCCACUGAGAUCCUCAUGGUGCUCGAGGGGACACUAUAUGUUGGCUUUGUCACAUCCAACCAGCCCGCCCCCAACAGAAACAAGUUCCUUUCCAAGAUGCUCAACAAAGGUGAUGUGUUUGUCUUCCCCGUGGGGCUCAUCCACUUCCAAUUCAACCCCAACCCCCACCAGCCCGCUGUUGCAAUUGCCGCGCUUAGCAGCCAGAACCCAGGGGCUAUCACAAUUGCCAAUGCAGUGUUUGGGUCGGACCCACCAAUAUCAGAUGAUGUUCUUGCCAAGGCAUUUCAGGUGGAAAAGAAUACAAUAGACUAUCUCCAGGCUCAAUUUUGGGAGAACAACCACAACUAA